RNAcentral lists this unclassified non-coding RNA (1109 nucleotides) under Hevea brasiliensis (rubber tree). The record is from RNAcentral. Lineage: Eukaryota; Viridiplantae; Streptophyta; Magnoliopsida; Malpighiales; Euphorbiaceae.
GCCCAGCAUACAAAACUCUAAAAUAUAUUCAGCUUAUAUUUGAAAACUCAAGUCAAAUUCAAACAUCAAUUCCAAAUAAAUGGCAACUGCACAACAAACGACGAAGAAGCAUGAACAGAAAACAUGAGGCUGGCUAGCUGUAACCAAUUUCUACAUUCUUGGUCAGUUCACUCAUCCAAUUCAUACAACAUGCGGUUCUAGGCCCCUUUGCUUCCUUGUUUUCCCCACAAACAAGUCUCCAGAUUUUAUCAUGCCGGGAAUAAGGCCAAUGAUGGUAAUGAAUGGAAAUUGUGCAACAGCAUUUCUUCUUCCCAGUGAAACAAUUGCUGUUACUGAACCAUCUGGCUUGUAAGCGGCCAUUUUGCAUUCUUUUCCUCCAGCCAUCAAUAACUUCAAGUUUCCAGCAGCCACUUCAGCAUGUUUUUGUGCCAAAUACCCUUGUUUGAUUUCUGGAAUAUUAGUAAUAUCUCCAAUUGCAAAUAUAUUUUUUCGGCCCUUGACUCUUAAGUACUCAUCAACCACCAAUCUUCCAUGAAAAUCCAAGUUGUUCUUCAAAACAGUAUCCUUAAGCCAUGCUGAGCCCAGUGGUUUCCCCGCACAUAGGAAAUGGCAAUCUGCCUUGAUAGUUUCUCCAGCUAAAGAAUGGUAUAUUCUGCUACCAUUUUCAUCCACUUCUGGAAUAGAAUUUAAAUCAACCCUUUGCUCCAAUUUCACAUCAACAUUCUUUGAUCUUAACCAUUUUAGUGUCUUAUCAGCAGCUUUUGGCCCAAUAAAUUCCAUCAAUCUUGACCCAUUAUGUACCAGAGUAACCUUCUUUUCUGGGAAAUCAACAGCAAUUUCUCCUGCAAGUUCAACACCAGUGGGACCUCCUCCAACAAUUAAAAUGGAAUGAGCAGACUUAAUUUUUUCAUUUUCUGCUUGGUAUUCAGCAAGUCUUGCCAUCCUAGUUUUUGGAACAGACUCUGCAUGGCCAGUAGCAAUGACAAGAUAAUCAUAGGGAACUAUAUGACCCUCUGCAGUCAAUACAACUGUGUCAGUGAUGUUGAUUGCAUUAGAUGUAACAAUACGGCCAUUUGUGAAGUAAUCUCUAUGAUUUAUCACUGAUCUCU